This 4907-nucleotide ribosomal RNA is filed under the name Ophiocordyceps sinensis. RNAcentral's name for it is "LSU rRNA". The stretch from base 395 to 3253 matches the Rfam family "Bacterial large subunit ribosomal RNA". Lineage: Eukaryota; Fungi; Ascomycota; Sordariomycetes; Hypocreales; Ophiocordycipitaceae. The record is from RNAcentral.
UAAGUAUAUAAAGAAACUAUUAUGGAAUUUAUGCCAUGUAUCAAAGAGAAAUAUUUAUAUCCAUAGGUAAUAAACUCCUAUAUUUUUAACUCUGGGGCCUAUUUCAUUAGCCCAAGCACAAAGGGACUGAUUGAAACCCUGGGUUAAUAACCUUAUUUCAGGCUGCGCUAUUUAUAAAUAUGCUAAAGCUCUUUAUUUUGAAGUUUAUUUAAGAAUUGUAAACUUACUAUUUACUAUAAAAUAAUUAUGAAAAUUGUCUUGCUGGGCCUCCAGUAACGCACAAAUUUUCAUAUCUUAGAAAUUAAGGGAGCUGCUAUCUCUCAGAUUGUUUGCUUAUUGCUUUAUAAAGUCGCAAAGUAAACUGUGGGCAAAGCAGAAUAUUGGGGGUAACUUCCUAUAAGUUACAUAAGCUCUAAGAGAAAUCUAAUCUCUAAACGAAGUGAAUUGAAAUAUCUUAGUAACUUCAGGAAAAUAAAUCAAAAGAGAUUCUAUGAAUAACGUGAGUGAAAAUAGAGUAGCCUAUAAAGUAGAACGGUACAAAAACUGUUUAAAUAAUGGGGAACCUUCCUCAAAGGCUAAAUAUGAUACAUGAGCGAUAGUGAAAAGUACCAUGAGGGAACUUAAACGAAAAUAGUAGUUUUAUAAGCAGUUCGAUAAAAAGAACGUACCUUUUGCAUAAGGGGUCACCAAGUUAACGUUAGAUGCGAGCAUAUGCGUAGUUAAACCGGACGUUAAAAUAACGAAACAGUGUCUAAGUUAGACCCGAAGCACGGUGAUUUUACCAUAGUCAGGAUUAUAAAAGUCCGAACGGGUGAUUGUAGCAUAAAUCUCCGAAGAACUGUGGUAGGUGUAGUGAAAGACAACACUGACUGUGAUAGCUGGUAUUCUGCGAAACCUAUAAUAGUAGGCAAUUUAAGUAAAUAUCUUAGCAGGUACAUAAUUUAAUCUCAGACAAGAUGUGUAAACGUUUUAUUUUGUACAAAUUGGGGGAUCAUGAAGAUUUUAUCAGUGAGUAUGUAGACUCGGAAUGGCAAAGAUAUAUCUUGAAUUAUCAGACAUAGAAUGAUAAGGUUGAAAUGUCAAAAGGGAAACAGCCCUGAACAAGAGUUAAGGUGCUCCUAAAUUAUUAGUUAAGUGAAAUUAAGAAGGUUUUAAUUCAAGUCGGCAAGGAGAUAGGCUUAGAAGCAGCCAUAAUUUUAUGACCUCGUAAUAGAGCGCUUGUUAAGCUAUAAAAGCAUCGAAAAUUUAACGGAUCUAAACAAUAUACCGAAACCUUGUAAAAUGUUAGUAGAUAGGGCGUUUGGGGUAGCAGAACGUUGAGUAAAUAAUGGAUUUUAUUUUUUUUAAAUAGAAUUAUAAUAAUUUAACUCAAGUGAGAAUGGUGACAUGAGUAACUAAAAGAAAAUUUUCCGCCUUAAGCUUAUGGAUAUAAUUAAGUAACGGCCUCUAAGUUUAUAUUAUCUAAAGAUUUAAACGAUGAGAAAAUCUUUUUUACUAAGGACAACAUUUUAGUCUAAAAUGUGCUGGAAAAAUAGUAAAUAUAUUUGAUAUCUAAUAACAAAAUAUAUAUGUUAUCUAAGAACAAAUGAACAAAACCGUACCUAGAAUCUGAAAAAAGUAAGCUAGUAGAGAAUACGAAGGCGUAAAUGAGCUAACAAUCAUAAGGAACUCGGCAAAUUGACUACCGUAACUUCGGAAUAAGGAGGGCUCAAUUCUUGAUUAAUAUCAAGUAAAAAGGAAGAAGCAUAAAAUGAUGUUGUACGACUGUUUAAUUAAAACACAGCACUUUGCUGAAAGAUAAAAAAAUCUAAGUAUAAAGUGUGAAAUCUGCCCGGUGCCGGCUUUGGUUAACAGAGAUAAUUAAAUAUACUAUUAUUUGACGUCGACGGAAACCCCGGUUAAAGGCGGCCUUAACGUGAGGGUCCUAAGGUAGCGAAAUGCCUUGGCCGUUAAAUGCGGUCUUGCAUGAAUGGUGUAACGAUACAACAGCUGUCUCUAUGAUUGACUCAGUGAAAUUGGAAUAGCUGUGCAGAUACAGCUUACCUCUAGUUAGACGAGAGACCCUAUGCAGCUUUACUGUCACUAAUUAUAGAGUAUGUUAGAGAAUUCCCAGAUUAUAAGGUAAUUGACAAUGUGACUAUGUGAAUCCUUUAUUUAUCUUUCAUAUGAAUGAAUUGGUUUAGGAUUAUAAAGAAGUUAAUAUUAAUCUGGCUUUACUGAGUCCUUUUUUUUUAGCUAGCCCCUAAUCCCCGAAGGGGAUACGGGACCAGGAAGCUAAAAAAAAAAACAAAAAGAUUAUAGAAACAAUAUAAUUUAUAAUAGUAAAUCAACCUAAUUCAGUUUACUAUUUUUAAUAGUAAGUGACCUUUGGUAAGGAACUAUCGCUAGGAGACAGUUUAUGUGGGGCACAGACCCUGUAAAGAGUAAACAGGAGUGUCUAAUAAUUUAUAAUUAUUUUGUUUGCUAUUUUGAGUAGUUUAACUAUUUUUAAUCAUAUAUAAUUAUUUAUAUUUGCUGGGGGCAUGCAUGCUUCUUUGGGGUACAGAAGUAUGCAGCCCAUUAUACACUAAAUAUAUUUAAGUUUAAUUUAGGUAGGAUUUUAACUAUGUAGAAAUUAGAGAUAAUUGAAAAUAUUAUGUAAAUUUUAAGGCUGUGCUAUCUUUUUAUAAAUAUGCUAAAGCUUAUAUUAAAGUUUUCUAAUAUUUUAGAGCUAUUUUUUUGUCUUGCUAUUGCUGCAUGUUUCUACGAAGUAAGCAGCGCUAUUUUUUUUUAAUAGCGUGCAUGUUUCACUAUUUUUUACUUAUUUUAUUAUUUUGGCUGUUUCUACGCAGUGUUUCACACUGCUAGAAACAGCCAGAAAUAACUAAAAUAAUAAAAAAAUGAACAGCAGAAAAAUGCUGCUAGAAAAAAGGAAUAGUUAUGUUUUGAAUAUCUAAAAAGCUCAACGGCUAAAUCUUGCCUUACUGUUUGAUUAUCUACAAAUCUUACAGUUGCGUAAGCAGGGCAUAGGAUCACAAGAUGCAAUAAGGAUAGAUCUUGGAUUAUUGGAAAAGCUACGCUAGGGAAGAACAGGCUAAUUUGCGCAAGAGUGUACAAAAUGAGUGCGCGGUUUGGCACCUCGAUGUCGGCUUAACUUAUCCUCAUGGAUGCAGGAACUAUGUAGGGUGCGACUGUUCGUCGAUUAAAAAGUUACAUGAGCUGGGUAAAGUAUUUAGCCCAGAAAUUAAUUGGCCUGCGAAGCAGGCUAAUUGUUAAUAAAAUCGGGUAAAUUUCAAGAAUAACUAAUGAUAGUAAACUUGAAGCGAAAUUUAUAUUAAUAGUAUAAAAACGUUCAACGACUAUUAGGUGAGUUUCACACUAGAAUUUAGUGUUGAUAGUAAUAAUCCUUUUAAGAACACCCGACGUAUAGUAAAAAUUAUAGUAUUUAGCAAAGUAAAAUAAUAAUGUAUCCUUAUCCUUAAGGAUCAAUAACAAGAUAAUUUAGUAAAAUAUGAAUAAAACAACUUUAAUAAGAUAUUUAAAUUCAGUUAUGAAAAACGAAUCUUUAACUGAAAUAGAAAAAGAUAUAAGAACUAAAAAUGAACUACCCAUAUAUUUAAAUGAGGUUAUGAUAGGAUUAAUGUUGAGUGAUGGAUCUUUAGAAAGAUCUUCAUCUACAAGCGGAGUUCGUCUUUCCAUAUGUUUUAGUAAGAAGGAUGAAGAAUAUUUAAAGUUUAUAUAUGACUUAUAUAAACCUUAUAUAAAUACAGAACCUGCUUAUAUUAAAGUUUAUAAUAAAAAGACAGACUCCUAUAACGAGGUAUUAAAAUUUAAAACAAUAAGUUUACCUCAAUUAAUCUAUUAUUAUGAGUUAUUUUAUAAAGGUAAAAAAAUAGUUCCAGGUAAUAUAGAAAAACUAAUGACACCUGUAGUAUUAGCCCAUCUUAUAAUGGGUGAUGGUAAUUUAAAACUCCCUGAUAAAAUUAUUCGUAGAGCUUUAGCUAUUUUUCGGGGUGCUGACGAAGUCAGCACGCUUAUAUUUUUUAAUUAUUUCUACGAAGACUUCGUAGAAAUAAAUAAAAAAAAAUAGCAAGCCUCAAAUAGUUUUAUUAAACAGGAUGUAGAAUUAUUAGCUUCAGGUAUAACAAAUAAAUUCGAUAUAAAAACUAAAGUAGUUCAUGAUAGAAAUAAUCAAUAUAUUAUAACUAUUAGUAAAAGUGAAUUAGAGAAGGUUAAAAAUCUUAUUAAAGAUCAUAUGUAUCCUUCUAUGUUCUAUAAAAUCGAUUUAGAUAGAAAUAUUACCCUGAGCAGGAAGAGUUUUGAUUAUAAUAAUAUACAUUUGUUCAAUAAAUCUGCUAUUUAUUAUGGAAGUAUAUUAAGUAAUAAGUAAUAUAUAAUAAGUUAAAUACUUUUAAUACUAUAAUGGUACUAUACGAUGACAUAGUCUGAACCAUUUAGGAAUAAAUGGAAAAAAGAAAUUUUUGAUAACAUAUAGUAAAUACGUCGUGAGACAGUAUGGUUUCUAUCUUCUAGAGGGAAUUAGAAUAAAAUAAGAACAAACUUUUGUACGCAAGGAACAAGAAGAGUUUAACUCAUAAGGUUAAAAUAUGGUUACUAACCUAUGGUUUACCUGUUGUUUAUGUGCCUAAAUAUUAAAUAUAUAUAUGCUUUUGUAUAUAUAUAUCUUCUGUAUUAUUAUACAUAGGGAUGUUUCUUUUACUAAGACAAAUGUAUAGCAUAAGCACGGCAGGAACGCUAAGUUAGUUAAAGAUAAGUGCUGAAAGCAUAUAGGCACGAAACUUAUCUUAAGAUAUUUCUUAAAUAUACGUAAUAUACUAUUACGAAAUUUAUAGGCUUUAUCCGUACGAAUCUUGAGAUUUUAAAGAAUAAAGUACUAAUUUAAUAAUUCACUAUUUAUAAAUAUAUCU